Molecule: ribosomal RNA, 290 nt
Filed under: uncultured bacterium
Lineage: Bacteria
Description: partial 16S ribosomal RNA
Rfam family: Bacterial small subunit ribosomal RNA
Source: RNAcentral
CUUCCUACGGGGGGCAGCAGUGGGGAAUAUUGCACAAUGGGCGAAAGCCUGAUGCAGCAACGCCGCGUGCGGGAUGAAGGCUUUCGGGUUGUAAACCGCUUUCAGCAGGGAUGACAUCGACAGUACCUGCAGAAGAAGCCCCGGCUAACUACGUGCCAGCAGCCGCGGUAAUACGUAGGGGGCGAGCGUUAUCCGGAUUCAUUGGGCGUAAAGCGCACGCAGGCGGGCUUGCAAGCGGGGCCUUUAAUCUUGGGGCUUAACCUCCAGUCGGGUUCCGAACUGCAAGCCUC